UAGAAAAUCUACGUUUAUUCGAUUCAUUAAUUCGUACCAAGUUUUUGGGAUUUUAACGUAAAUUUUCAUGUCAAACAGCUGUGUCACGUUACGUAUAGUAUUGAUCAGUGUGACAAACUGUUACCCUGAAGGGGAUUUGAAUAGCAUCAAAGUUGAAGAUCUAAAAUAAUUCUGGUUGAACAAAAACAAAACUCAAGGCCGUGGCAAAAACUAUGU
Molecule: long non-coding RNA, 216 nt
Organism: Leptinotarsa decemlineata (Colorado potato beetle)
Lineage: Eukaryota; Metazoa; Arthropoda; Insecta; Coleoptera; Chrysomelidae
Source: RefSeq, a predicted model, not a curated record